RNAcentral lists this long non-coding RNA (536 nucleotides) under Homo sapiens (human). Its description in RNAcentral is "non-protein coding HDHD5-AS1:19". Lineage: Eukaryota; Metazoa; Chordata; Mammalia; Primates; Hominidae. The record is from RNAcentral.
CGCGGAGCCCGUCGGGCGCCUAUGGAACUCGACCCGCAGGCCAAAGGGGCUCCGUUGCAAGGAAGAAGUGCGGGGUCCCGCCGCCUCCUAGACCGAGAUCGCGGUGAGCUGGCCGCGGCGCACAAUGGGCACGGCCUGGGCGGCGGCGUCCGUACUAUCGCCCUGUGCCUGCGGAUCCCGGUAACAUUGCGCGGCAGGCCCCAGGCCGGCCUCCCUCAGCUUCGCGGACUGUCUGGGCCGGGGGUCUCAACCUUGACUUCAGGGCCGGGCCGCUGGGGCAGACCCUUAGUGAUGUUCAGGUCCUCUGGGCCCCUGCCAGUCAAGGGACGCUCGUCGCGCGCCAAUUGUUAAGUCUUUCAUUGUUUCUGUAAACCUGCUGACGCCCUCCCAGCGCAUAGGGAGACUGCGCACGAGCCAGCUGGUCCACCAGAAGUCUGUGUUCUGCCUGUCCCUGCAGCACGGAGGGCUGGGCUUUAUACCUGUGCCAAGGACACCAACGGCAGCAUCAGCAAGUCCGUGUUGUCUCCCAAAUAAGU